Molecule: ribosomal RNA, 1243 nt
Filed under: Halomonas sp.
Lineage: Bacteria; Pseudomonadati; Pseudomonadota; Gammaproteobacteria; Oceanospirillales; Halomonadaceae
Description: bacterial SSU rRNA
Source: RNAcentral
UGGGGAAACCCAGGCUAAUACCGCAUACGUCCUACGGGAGAAAGGGGGCUUCGGCUCCCGCUAUUGGAUGAGCCUAUGUCGGAUUAGCUGGUUGGUGAGGUAACGGCUCACCAAGGCGACGAUCCGUAGCUGGUCUGAGAGGAUGAUCAGCCACAUCGGGACUGAGACACGGCCCGAACUCCUACGGGAGGCAGCAGUGGGGAAUAUUGGACAAUGGGGGCAACCCUGAUCCAGCCAUGCCGCGUGUGUGAAGAAGGCCCUCGGGUUGUAAAGCACUUUCAGCGAGGAAGAACGCCUGUCGGUUAAUACCCGGCAGGAAAGACAUCAMUCGCAGAAGAAGCACCGGCUAACUCCGUGCCAGCAGCCGCGGUAAUACGGAGGGUGCAAGCGUUAAUCGGAAUUACUGGGCGUAAAGCGCGCGUAGGUGGCUUGAUAAGCCGGUUGUGAAAGCCCCGGGCUCAACCUGGGAACGGCAUCCGGAACUGUCAGGCUAGAGUGCAGGAGAGGAAGGUAGAAUUCCCGGUGUAGCGGUGAAAUGCGUAGAGAUCGGGAGGAAUACCAGUGGCGAAGGCGGCCUUCUGGACUGACACUGACACUGAGGUGCGAAAGCGUGGGUAGCAAACAGGAUUAGAUACCCUGGUAGUCCACGCCGUAAACGAUGUCGACCAGCCGUUGGGUGCCUAGAGCACUUUGUGGCGAAGUUAACGCGAUAAGUCGACCGCCUGGGGAGUACGGCCGCAAGGUUAAAACUCAAAUGAAUUGACGGGGGCCCGCACAAGCGGUGGAGCAUGUGGUUUAAUUCGAUGCAACGCGAAGAACCUUACCUACCCUUGACAUCUACAGAAGCCGGAAGAGAUUCUGGUGUGCCUUCGGGAACUGUAAGACAGGUGCUGCAUGGCUGUCGUCAGCUCGUGUUGUGAAAUGUUGGGUUAAGUCCCGUAACGAGCGCAACCCUUGUCCUUAUUUGCCAGCGAGUAAUGUCGGGAACUCUAAGGAGACUGCCGGUGACAAACCGGAGGAAGGUGGGGACGACGUCAAGUCAUCAUGGCCCUUACGGGUAGGGCUACACACGUGCUACAAUGGCCGGUACAAAGGGCUGCGAGCUCGCGAGAGUCAGCGAAUCCCUUAAAGCCGGUCUCAGUCCGGAUCGGAGUCUGCAACUCGACUCCGUGAAGUCGGAAUCGCUAGUAAUCGUGAAUCAGAAUGUCACGGUGAAUACGUUCCCGGGCCUUGUACACACCGC